RNAcentral lists this long non-coding RNA (570 nucleotides) under Heterocephalus glaber (naked mole-rat). RNAcentral's name for it is "lncRNA (ENSHGLG00100046267.1)". Lineage: Eukaryota; Metazoa; Chordata; Mammalia; Rodentia; Bathyergidae. The record is from RNAcentral.
GAAAGCUUGCUGGGGCUGUUUGAAGAAUAUACAUGAGAAUAGAGAAAAAUCCUGGGGCUGGGUUCAGCCCUAAGGUCUGGCAGAAGAGAUACUUCACUAGUGUUUUUCAAAAGAGAGCUCAGUACCACUUUGCCUUACACCUCCCUGUGUAAUGCCGAGGAGUCAGUUUAUCCGGUUACAUACAGCUCACACUGGCACAAAGCCCUUUGGGACUCCUAGUUGUAAUUACCUGGGAUUCAGUGAUUAAUGAUCUGGCACCAUACAACUUAUGGCUCUUCUCCAAAGUCAAAAUGAUCAUGAAAGGUAAACAUGUUGAAGUGAUUCAGGACAUCAGGGCAGCCGUGGUAGUGUAACUAAAGACACUCAAGAAGGAAGACUUCCAGAACUGCUUCAGAAACUGCCAAGAACGAUGGGAGAAGUCUGAUGGAAGCAAGGGGGAGUAUUCUGAGGGGCACUAAUGGCAAUUUUUCUUGUAGUGUAAAAAAUGUUUUAGAAUUUAAACAUUGAAGAUAUGCUUUGAUCACACCUUGUAUAUAGAGACCCUAUUAAUCUUUGUAAUGUGAAUUGUCU